Molecule: long non-coding RNA, 4443 nt
Organism: Oncorhynchus kisutch (coho salmon)
Lineage: Eukaryota; Metazoa; Chordata; Actinopteri; Salmoniformes; Salmonidae
Source: Ensembl
CCUUGUGUUUAGACCAAGGUGUAGGAUUUAGGGGUCAAUUUGGAAAUAGAAAUUGAAUGUAGUUCAGUGGCUGACAGGUGUCCUUAAUUAGCCAACGACAUUAGAAGGGUCUGGGAUUCCUUUAAAAGGAGCAACCAAACAUCUGGCAAAUAUAGUAAAAGGGAUAUUCUGGUAGGACGUAUGCCUACCAUUAGUUCUGAAUACUGGUGAGGUUUUGAGGGCAAAAUGGCCGUGAUGAUUGGAAUCGCUUUCAGCAUUUCUUGGCUUUGUUGCCUGCUAAUUGGAGGGAUAACGUGUUCUACAUCAGAAGGUGAGUUCAUUUCAAAUAACAGCUACGCAGUUGCUUAACUUUCAAAUGCUGGCAUUUUACAGAUUAUAUUUUUAACCUAGGUGAUUGGUCUCCUGCACUGGAUUCUAAUGCAGCAUGGCUCUAUGCAGGAUCACUUCGGUCUCUAGGAUAUGGCAAUUAUAAAUCUCAAAUGCAAGCGCAACAGAAACAUCCGGCCGCCAUCCUGCGGAAGGAACUGGCCCCCAUGUCCCAGCAACCUCAGCAAGUGUGGUAUCCAGUUCAAUUGCCCCUGCAUCAGAAGCAACUGGCCGCAGAAACUCAGCAGCAGAGGCAACCGACAACUGUGCCCCAGCAAGUGUGGCAUCAAGCUCACAUGCUGACACAACCACCGACCGCCGUGCCCCAGCAAGUGUGGCAUCAAGCUCACAUGCUGACGCAUAAGCAACCGACCGCCGUGCCCCAGCAAGUGUGGCAUCAAGCUCACAUGCUGACGCAUAAGCAACCGACCGCCGUGCCCCAGCAAGUGUGGCAUCCUGCUCAAAAGCCCCUGCAGCAGAAGCAACUGGCCGCAGAAGCUCAGCAGCAGAGGCAACCGACCGCCGUGCCCCAGCAAGUGUGGCAUCAAGCUCACAUGCUGACGCAUAAGCAACCGACCACUGUGCCCCAGCAAGUGUGGCAUCCUCCUCAAAUGCUCCUGCAGCAGAAGCAACCGACCGCCGUGCCCCAGCAAGUGUGGCAUCCUCCUCAAAUGCCCCUGCAGCAGAAGCAACCGACCGCCGUGCCCCAGCAAGUAUGGCAUCCUUCUCAAAUGCCCCUGCAAACAACCGCUGUGCCCCAGCAAGUGUGGCAUCCUCCUCAAAUGCCCCUGCAGCAUAAUCAACCGACCGCUGUGCCCCAGCAAGUGUGGCAUCCUGCUCAAAAGCCCCUGCAGCAGAAGCAACCGACCGCCGUGCCCCAGCAAGUGUGGCAUCAAGCUCACAUGCUGACGCAUAAGCAACCGACCGCUGUGCCCCAGCAAGUGUGGCAUCCUCCUCAAAUGCCCCUGCAGCAGAAGCAACCGACCACCGUGCCCCAGCAAGUGUGGCUUCCUCCUCAAUUGCCCCUGCAGCAGAAGCAACCGACCGCUGUGCCCCAGCAAGUAUGGCAUCCUUCUCAAAUGCCACUGCAAACAACCGCUGUGCCCCAGGAAGUGUGGCAUCCUCCUCAAAUGCCCCUGCAGCAUAUUCAACCGAUCGGCGUGCCCCAGCAAGUGUGGCUUCCUCCUCAAAUGCCCUUGCAGCAGAAGCAACCGAGCGCCGUGCCCCAGCAAGUGUGGCAUCCUCCUCAAAUGCCCCUGCAGCAGAAGCAACCGACCGCCGUGCCCCAGCAAGUGUGGCUUCCUCCUCAAAUGCCCUUGCAGCAGAAGCAACCGAGCGCCGUGCCCCAGCAAGUGUGGCUUCCUCAAUUGCCCCUGCAGCAGAAGCAGCCGACCGCCGUGCCCCAGCAAGUGUGGCUUCCUCAAUUGCCCCUGCAGCAGAAGCAACCGACCGCCGUGCCCCAGCAAGUGUGGCAUCCAGCUCAAAUGCAGCAGAAGCAACAGACCAACGUGCCCCAGCAAGUGUGGCAUCCAGCUCAAAUGCAGCAGAAGCAACCGACUGCCCUGUGCCAGCAAGUGUGGCAUCCUCCUCAAAUGGCCCUGCAGCAGAAGCAACUGACCACCGUGCCCCAGCAAGUGUGGCAUCCAGCUCAAAUGCAGCAGAAGCAACCGACUGCCGUGCCCCAGCAAGUGUGGCAUCCUCGUCAAAUGCCCCUGAGGCAGAAGCAAACGACCGACGUGCCCCAGCAAGUGAGGCAUCCUGCUCAGUUUCCCCAGCAGAAGCAACUGGCCCCUAUGCCUCUACUGCAGAAGGAACCAACCACCAUAACCCAGCAACCUCAGCAGGUGUGGCAUCCAGCUCAAAUGUCCAAGAAUCGAACAGCCACUGAACCUCAGCAGAAGCCACCAUCCACCACGCCAGCUCAAAUUCCCCUGCAGCAGAAGCAACCGGCCACUGAACCUCAACAGAAGGAGCUGACCGCCAUGCCACAGAAGCUACAGGCCUCCAUUCUCCAGCAGCCUCCGCUCGUGUGGCAUCCAUCUCAAUUUCCCCAGCAGAAGGAACUGGCAGUCGAGCCCCAGCAGAAGAAGGAACUGGCAGUCGAGCCCCAGCAGCAGAAGGAACUGGCAGUCGAGCCCCAGCAGCAGAAGGAACUGGCAGUCGAGCCCCAGCAGCAGAAGGAACUGGCAGUCGAGCCCCAGCAGCAGAAGGAACUGGCAGUCGAGCCCCAGCAGCAGAAGGAACUGGCAGUCGAGCCCCAGCAGCAGAAGGAACUGGCAGUCGAGCCUCAGCAAGUGAGGUAUCCAGCUCAAAUGGCCCAGCAGCUACCCAACCCCAUUCCUCAGCAAUUAUGGCAUGUAGGCCAAAUUUCCCAGCAGCAACUGGCCCCAUUGUCUCAGCAGAAGCACUACGAAAGAACUGAAGAUGAUGCCUCUGGUAGUUCUCAGGCCAGCAUUGAACAGUCAGGUGUCAUCCCAAUCUCUUCCUACAGUUCCAAAUCGCACUACAAGAAUGGCAGAACUAUCUUUUCACAAAUCAGCUACACUCCUAGGGAGGCAAUGCCUGUUGACAGUGGAAAUGCUCCCAAGGACGGUUAUGUUGGCAUUGGUGCACCAAGCAUAUAUCCAACACUAGUGAAGGAUUCUGCAAGGGAAAUAUAAUGGAUUCAUCCUCUAGAAGCUCUAAUGACCAGGAAGUUGCUGGUGCUCUUGCUACUCUAGUGUGAUGGAAUCAAUAAACAACUUACUUUAAAAAAUGCCUUGUCUCUUUGAAAUGUUUCAUGUCCAUUGCUUGCUAAUUGAGAACAGGUUGUGUGCAGUCCGUAGUAAAAAUGACUACUGUUCAGUUAAUUCUUUGGUUUUCUUAUCUUUUACAUUUGCUACUGAUUAAAAUAAAAGCUUGGGUCUACAUAAGAGCAUUUGUGAUGGGGUCAGACAUUCCUCAUAUGUUCAUACUUUAGAUGUAGGCAUGCAUUGUAUACAGUGAGACUGUCAGAUAAAUCCCUGAUUGAAGAGCUCUGGGGAAGUGUACUAAAAUGUCUGAAGCAUUGAAGGUCCCUAAGAACAGUCGCCUCGAUCGUUUAUAAAUGGAAGAGCUUUGGAACCACCAAGACUCUUCCUAGAGCUGGCCGCCGGGCCAAACUGAGCAAUCGGGGGAGAAGGGCCUUGGUCAGGGAGGUGAUCAAGAACCCGAUUGUCACUCUGACAGAGCUCGAGAGUUCCAUCUCUGCAGCACUCCACCAAUCAGGGCUUUAUGGUAGUGUGGAGAGGUGGAAGCCUCUCCUCAGUAAAAAGCACAUUACAGCCGGCUUUACACCUAAAGACUCUGAAACCAUGCGAACAAGAUUCUCUGGUCUGAUUAAACCAAGAAUGAACUCUUUGGAUUGAAUGGCAAGUGUCACGUCUCGAAGAAACCUCUCACCAUUGAGUGGCCCAGCCAUAGCCCGGACUUAAACCCGAUCAAACAUCUCUGGAAAGACCUGAAAAUAGCUGUCCAGCAAAGCUCCACAUCCAACCUGACUGAGCUUGAGAGGAAUUGUAGAAACUUUCAUUUCUAAAUCAUAAUGCAAAUGAAACCCUGAGUUCAGUUUAUAUAGCCAUGGGGGAAUGAAAACAGAUGUAUGCAUUUGGUUGUGAAGACAGAUUACAUGUAAAUAAAACGACAAAAGGAAUACUAAAAUUGUCUAGGUGUAUACAACCCGAGGGUGGUCGAAAUUGUUUAAAUGUUGCAUACAUUUUUUUUUGUAUCUAGAUAUUGUGUUAAUGUCUAAACAACUCUUUUAUUCAUUGUCAGAAAUAUAUAAAUAUAGUUUUACCUGCACCUGUAUGCAGAUGAUACCGUUGUGUACUCAAUUGCCCCGCCCUGCUGAUCAGGCUCUAUCUGAUCUACAUUAGGCUUUCAUUAUUUUGCAGAACACCUUUAUUGACCUUCAAUUAUUAUUGAAUUCAUGGAAAACUGUUCUCUAGAUUACACAAAAAUGAUUCUAAUGAUUGAAGUGUACGUACCUGGUACGGUGUAUCAGUAUGUACGUUAAGUUGUCUUUUUGAAAAACAUAUUGAUGAGUUAAUUAAGAUGCUG